Molecule: ribosomal RNA, 213 nt
Filed under: Clostridioides difficile
Lineage: Bacteria; Bacillati; Bacillota; Clostridia; Peptostreptococcales; Peptostreptococcaceae
Description: partial 23S ribosomal RNA
Rfam family: Bacterial large subunit ribosomal RNA
Source: RNAcentral
AGGGUUGGGCUGUUCGCCCAUUAAAGUGGUACGCGAGCUGGGUUCAGAACGUCGUGAGACAGUUCGGUCCCUAUCCGUCGCAGGCGUAGGAAAUUUGAGAAGACCUAUCCUUAGUACGAGAGGACCGGGAUGGACGUACCUCUGGUGUACCAGUUGUCCUGCCAAGGGCAUGGCUGGGUAGCUAUGUACGGAAUGGAUAAGCGCUGAAAGCAU